This 206-nucleotide unclassified non-coding RNA is filed under the name uncultured fungus. RNAcentral's name for it is "sequence contains ITS1". The record is from RNAcentral. Lineage: Eukaryota; Fungi.
UUAACUUGUUUUUUUUGUAAAUCAGAACGUACAGUCCGCUGUGCAUUUAGAGUUUGGCGCUGCCGGCGGGGACGGGAGCGGCGCGGCCCGCUAGGGCGCGCGACGCACACCGCCUCCCGCCGAGACAACGCGGCAAGAGGUAAGGUUCACAGUGGGUUUUGAAGGUAACUUCGGUAAUGAUCCCUCCGCUGGUUCACCAACGGAGA